AGGCCGGCCUGGUAAAUGCAAAAGGCUGGUACAGAAGCGUUUUAGCACAAUCGGGCUGGAAAGCUCCGACUGCAACGGGCUGAGAACAAAAAAAAAAAAAAAAAAAAAAAAAAAAAAAAAAAAAAAAAAGAAACGUGAAAAGGCUCCUUUGCUGCCCUCUGCCUGCCGAGGCUGCGGCCGCCUCCGAGGCUGGCGAAGAGCUGACAUUGCCUGAGUGAAAAAACGGAGGAAUCCGGGCCAAUUCGCACACCUGUGGUGCUUCCACACAAUCAAUUAGGUUGGAAAGACCUCUGAGAUCGUCGAGUCCAACCCUUCCUGGCUCUGGAUGCACUGAGUUGUCCUUUUUCCCACGUGUGGACGUGCUUCUCUUCACCUCGCUUCCAGACAACUUCAGUAGAGAAAGAUGAGGCACAAAGAGGAGGAACUCACCCAGUCCCACCCGGCACUGCAGAAGGAACCAGAAUUACCAGCCCUUGCUCUGCCUCGCCCAGGGUGUGCCCUGAUGGAAACAAACUGUCGGACAUUUUCUCCAAACACACCUCUGCUGCUGCACAGGCUGUGGGACAGAAUAAACGCUCUAACCAAGGAUUCUUCUGCUGCUUCCUAUUUGAAAGAGAUACAAACUUUUAUCCCAGGAAAAACAACAGAACCCAGGAGCUCAUUACACAUUUAAAUUGCAAGACUCACAACUACUGUUCUUAGUUUUGGUUGCAGAUAUUUGUAAUAACAAUUUUUUCUAAAACAAAAAGACUUUUCUCCAAAGGGGUCCUUGGCCAUUCACCCUGAGACAAGCAGGGGUUUAGACAAAAAACACCCAAAACCUCCAAAUCUAACACCAAACAGAGGUGGCAGCUCGGAUUCUUCUCCAGUGUGAUCCCAUCAGCGCAGUUACAGCAUCACCCCCACCUCUCGCAUUUCUCACCCCUCCACACAUCAUUUAAAGUCAGUGGCUCCUUUUGUGAGCAGCCAGCUCCUCACCCCGGCACUUUCCCUGCACUUCGACAAAAGAGACCUUUUACAUGUCAAUUUAUUUUCAGACAAGCAUAUCUGAAAGGGAGUUUCCCUCCGGAGUCGAAUUAGUAUUAAUGGCAGGUGUUCAGUGGCACACAAAGGGAGGGAGGCUGAGCCGAGGCACUAAGACAGCUUGAUGUUUUAAUAACCAGAGGCAAGGAAUGGAGUGGCAGCGGACCUGCGGCUUCCCCGGCGUGAGUGAAGGUUUUAUUCAGAGCCCCCAUGUACUGCCGAAAGAAGACCUUGAAAUAUUUUAAAUGUUUUCUUUGCCUUCAAAGGGGGAUUAAAUUAUUGAAUAUUCCAUGAAAGCACAGCAUCCACCCCACAUCCCGUGGAACUCACUCGCAGUCACUGAGUACUUCCGAAGCCUCCCGCAGCCUUGGGAAGCAGCCGCGGCCACCACGAGGAGGUGGUGGCACCCAGGAGGCCUCCAGCUGCACAGUUCACCAUCCACCAGUGCCCAGAGAUGCUGAAAAAAGAUUUACAUGGACUAACUCAAAGGUGGAAACUUGGAGAGGGAUUUGCAUUAAAGUUUAAAAAGUUAAAACCACAGAUCAGUUGCUUAGUGAAGUUUCACUAUGAAAAGGAAAGAGAAGAUGAUUGCUGGAAAAGCUACUGGCCUUCAGUUUUAAACUGAAUCUUGAUGGGAAUAUUUCCCAGGCCAAAAUACAUUUAUUGAUGCCCUGGUGAAUUUGACAGAGGUCAGCAAGGGAAAGGCACAGCUACACAGUGGGAAAGAAGGGAAACAUCCUCUCAGCUGGGUCAGCCCCUACAACAAAAAAAUGGCUGAUUUACGCCCCAAAAUAGGAAAAUUUAACCUGUAUUAUACAGAAACAGUAUUAUAUAGAGCUGUUCAACAUUAUUUUUGGUCUCCUUGACUUUGGAUCAAUAUGUUUUUU
Serinus canaria (Common canary) is the source of this 1910-nucleotide long non-coding RNA. RefSeq lists it as uncharacterized. The record is from RefSeq and is a predicted model, not a curated record. NCBI's taxonomy places the organism in Eukaryota, Metazoa, Chordata, Aves, Passeriformes, Fringillidae. The transcript has 3 exons.